GCAGUAGCCGCGGUAAUACAGAGGGUGCGAGCGUUAAUCGGAUUUACUGGGCGUAAAGCGUGCGUAGGCGGCUUUUUAAGUCGGAUGUGAAAUCCCUGAGCUUAACUUAGGAAUUGCAUUCGAUACUGGGAAGCUAGAGUAUGGGAGAGGAUGGUAGAAUUCCAGGUGUAGCGGUGAAAUGCGUAGAGAUCUGGAGGAAUACCGAUGGCGAAGGCAGCCAUCUGGCCUAAUACUGACGCUGAGGUACGAAAGCAUGGGGAGCAAACAGGAUUAGAUACCCGUGUAGUCCCUGUCUCUUAUAC
Molecule: ribosomal RNA, 302 nt
Filed under: uncultured bacterium
Lineage: Bacteria
Description: partial 16S ribosomal RNA
Rfam family: Bacterial small subunit ribosomal RNA
Source: RNAcentral